CAACCCUCAAGCACUGCUUGGUAUUGGAUGCCACCAUCAUGGUGUGUCUUAAAAAUAUUAGCAGUGGCAUUCAGCUUCUAGUGUAGUAAGUUUUCUCGCUGUGGAGUCUGGGUGCUAACCUGCUAGAACCCCUAAUUUAUCAAA
This 144-nucleotide unclassified non-coding RNA is filed under the name uncultured Helotiales. RNAcentral describes it as "sequence contains ITS2". The record is from RNAcentral. Lineage: Eukaryota; Fungi; Ascomycota; Leotiomycetes; Helotiales.